CUCCCGAGAGACCGAUAGCGAACCAGUACCGUGAGGGAAAGGUGAAAAGCACUUCGAACAGAAGAGUGAAAUAGUUCCUGAAACCGUGCGCCUACAAGCGGUCGGAGCUCGUUAAUGAGUGACGGCGUGCCUUUUGCAUAAUGAACCUACGAGUUGCCUUUGCCGGCAAGGUUAAGUGUGACGACACACGUAUCCGAAGCGAAAGCGAGUCUGAACAGGGCGUAUAGUCGGCAGUGGCAGACGCGAAACCAAGUGAUCUACCCUUGGCCAGGUUGAAGGCUGGGUAACACCAGCUGGAGGACCGCACCAAUAAGCGUUGAAAAGCUUCUGGAUGAGCUGAGGGUAGGGGUGAAAGGCUAAUCAAACUUGGAGAUAGCUCGUACUCCCCGAAAUGCAUUUAGGUGCAGCCUUGCGGGUUACUGAUGUGAGGUAGAGCGACUGAUAAGAUGCGAGGGCUUCACCGCCUAUCAAGUCUUGACAAACUCCGAAUGCGCAUCAGUUCUACCGCAGGAGUGAGGGCAUGGGUGCUAAGGUCCGUGCCCGAGAGGAGAAGAAUCCGGACCACCUGCUAAGGUCCCGAAAUGACAGCUAAGUUAAACUAACGAAGUCUGACUGCUAAGACAGCUAGGAUGUUGGCUUGGAAGCAGCCAUUCAUUUAAAGAGUGCGUAACAGCUCACUAGUCGAGGAGUCGGGCGUGGAUAAUAAUCGGGUAUCAAGUUGUCUACCGAAGCAGUGGGAUCAUUAAUAUGAUCGGUAGGGGAGCAUUCCAGUCAGCGUCGAAGGCGUACCGUGAGGUAUUCUGGAGCGUCUGGAAAAGCAAAUGUAGGUAUAAGUAACGAUAAAGGGGGCGGGAAACCCCCUCGCCGAAAGACUAAGGUUUCCUGAUCAACGCUAAUCGGAUCAGGGUCAGUCGGGUCCUAAGGCUCAGCCGAACGGCGAUGCCGAUGGCAGAAACGGUUAAUAUUCCGUUACUACCUUCAGGAGUGACGUGGAGACGCAGUAGUGACAGUGCCGCCAUCUGACGGAAUAGAUGGUUGAAGGGUGUAGGAGUCGAUCAUGGCAGGCAAAUCCACCAUGAGAUCCGAACUUGAGAGUAUGCCGCGUCCUUCGGGACAAGGCAAUAGUGCGCGUAAGCAUGCUGCCGAGAAAAUCCGCUAAACUUAAUCCUGGAGGUACCCGUACCGCAAACGGACACACGUAGUCGGGAUGAAUAUUCUAAGGCGCUUGAGUGAUUCACGGUUAAGGAACUAGGCAAACUGACCCUGUAACUUCGGGAUAAAGGGUCCCUACCCUUUUAUGGGAGGGCGCAGAGAAUCGGUCCAGGCAACUGUUUAACAAAAACACAGGGCUGUGCCAAAUCGAAAGAUCCAGUAUACAGCCUGACACCUGCCCGGUGCUGGAAGGUUAAGAGGAGAUGUCAUCGAUAAGAGAAGCGUUGAAUUGAAGCCCCAGUAAACGGCGGCCGUAACUAUAACGGUCCUAAGGUAGCGAAAUUCCUUGUCGGGUAAGUUCCGACCCGCACGAAAGGCGUAAUGAUUUGGGCACUGUCUCAACAAUGCACCCGGUGAAAUUGAAAUACCAGUGAAGAUGCUGGUUACCUGCGCCAGGACGGAAAGACCCCAUGGAGCUUUACUGCAGUUUAAUACUGGGAAUCGGUAAUGCAUGUACAGGAUAGGUGGGAGACAUGGAAGCAUGGUCGUCAGGUCAUGUGGAGUCACCGGUGGGAUACCACUCUUGUAUUGCUGAUUUCCUAACCUGCGGCCGUGAAUCCGGUCGGGGGACAUUGUCAGGUGGGCAGUUUGACUGGGGCGGUCGCCUCCUAAAGAGUAACGGAGGCGUUCAAAGGUUCGCUCAGCUUGAACGGAAAUCAAGCAAAAGAGUGCAAACGCAGAAGCGAGCCUAACUGCGAGACUGACGGGUCGAGCAGUAACGAAAGUUGGAGUUAGUGAUCCGGUGGUAUGUGAGUGGAAAUGCCAUCGCUCAACGGAUAAAAGCUACCCUGGGGAUAACAGGCUGAUCUCCCCCAAGCGUCCACAGCGACGGGGAGGUUUGG
Molecule: ribosomal RNA, 2054 nt
Filed under: human gut metagenome
Description: bacterial LSU rRNA
Rfam family: Bacterial large subunit ribosomal RNA
Source: RNAcentral